RNAcentral lists this ribosomal RNA (434 nucleotides) under uncultured Clostridium sp. Its description in RNAcentral is "partial 16S ribosomal RNA". It matches the Rfam family "Bacterial small subunit ribosomal RNA", at positions 341 to 792 of the family's 1533-position model. Lineage: Bacteria; Bacillati; Bacillota; Clostridia; Eubacteriales; Clostridiaceae. The record is from RNAcentral.
ACGGGAGGCAGCAGUGGGGAAUAUUGCACAAUGGGGGAAACCCUGAUGCAGCGACGCCGCGUGAGCGAAGAAGUAUUUCGGUAUGUAAAGCUCUAUCAGCAGGGAAGAAAAUGACGGUACCUGACUAAGAAGCCCCGGCUAACUACGUGCCAGCAGCCGCGGUAAUACGUAGGGGGCAAGCGUUAUCCGGAUUUACUGGGUGUAAAGGGAGCGUAGACGGCAAGGCAAGUCAGAAGUGAAGGCAUAGGGCUUAACCCUGUAACUGCUUUUGAAACUGUUUAGCUAGAGUGUCGGAGAGGUAAGGGGAAUUCCUAGUGUAGCGGUGAAAUGCGUAGAUAUUAGGAGGAACACCAGAGGCGAAGGCGGCUUACUGGACGAUUACUGACGUUGAGGCUCGAAAGCGUGGGGAGCAAACAGGAUUAGAUACCCUGGUA